Molecule: long non-coding RNA, 2868 nt
Filed under: Malus domestica (apple)
Lineage: Eukaryota; Viridiplantae; Streptophyta; Magnoliopsida; Rosales; Rosaceae
Description: long non-coding RNA (MDOM_LNC004259)
Source: RNAcentral
UUCUCGUAUGAGUUCCCAAAAAUAAAACCGUGAGGGCGUGGUCGGGAUCCAAAGUGGACAAUAUCGUGCUAUGGUGGAGUCGAGCCUGGAAUGUGGUGGGGGGCCGGGCCGGGAUGUGACAAUAUUCUUGAUUUAGAUGCUUUUCAAAUUUAUUUUAAAUUAAUUUCUACGCUAGAAGUGCUUUCAAAUAAUAUUUAUUUAAUUUAUUAUCUUUAUCCUUUCCUCAAUUUAAAAAUUCAAUAAUAACCAAAUUAAUUGAGGACCGAGAGACUUAAAUUAUUAAGAAAUUUCAAUAGGAUAAUAUAUAUAAAUAUUUUCUAACUUGGUACAAUCUUUACUACUGUAAGGGUUAAUAUUCUUUCUCAUUCUCUAUUUUAUUCGUUAGAAUUCAACUAUGAUUCAUGUCACAGCCCGUCCCGAGAUUUUUAUAUCAGGAACGUGAAAUGACGGGAUUACCCUUGACGGGUAUUAAGGUAUGUGUGUAUGUGACAGUAUUUAGACUUAAACUUUAUAAAUUUUGGAAUUAUCUUAUGUUGGAUUGUUUGUGUGGUUAGGGAACUAAGAUGAGAAUGGAUGGUGAGGAUUGAUGUUGGACCACACAUACAAGCCCUCAUUCCUUUUCCCUUCCCCGUGUCUCUCUCUCUCCUCCCUUCGAACUCUCCCUUUCUCUGCAAAUCGUACGAACGUAGUCCGUUGACCCCCAUUCCUUCACGGAUCAAGCUCCCAAGACCCCCCAUCAUAUUUCUUGCAAGAAUACGAAUUCAACCAUACCCUUGGUUGGUUGAAUUAUCUUCGAUAAACCCAGAAACCACGAGGGUUCCGUCGAAGCACUGUAGCACCGAUUUGAUCGUCGAGGUUUCAUGCCAUUUUGAGGUUCAGAAAGGUAACAAGUCUCUUUCCUUAGUCAUUUGGCAUGAUUUUGGUUGAAGUUUAAUGUGAGAAAACCCCGAAAAAUCGAAUCCCCGAGUUGGUCACUAUUUAUCAACUUUUAAACGGAGGGUUUUCUUUGAAUUUCAGGGCUAUAGUGAGCUUUAGAACAUCCUCAUGAUGCUCGGAGUGCAACGUUGAGGUAUUUUGGACGUCGGGGAGCCAUAGAACGAAGUUUCACUUUUUGCCGAAGUAUCGUGCUUCCCCAGGUAAAAUCUAGUGAAUUUUAGACCUUGAAACUAGUCCAUCGUGAUUCUACAUGUUGAGGGCUUCAAAUUGAUAUAAAAUUCGAAGAAAACGGUUGAGAAACGAAGGAGAACAAGCAAUUACAAAAUUCGCCGGAAUCCGGCCACCGGAAAAACCAGUCCGGCGACUGGCUGAGGAAGAAGACGCGCGUGGGGGCGCGUAGGUCCGUGCCACCCACGGCGCGUGAGGGCGCGUGGCAAGUCUAAAAAUUUUUCUAAAAAUUCCUUGACGUCCGUGAUGUCGAGUAGGUUGAUGUGGUAUAUUCAUAUACCCAAAUUGAGCAUCGUAUGAGAAGUUAUUUCAAAUUGUUGGUUAUGUGUUUAAAUUAACGUUUUUAUAGUUAUUUCGCAUAUAGGUGAAAAUGUGAAUUGACGAUCCGACCGUUGGAUCGUCACCAAACUUUGAUGCGUCGUAAUACGUAAUAAUUGAGGAUUAUGGGAACUUACGGAUUGGGAAUCCGAUUUACGGAUCUUCCGGAAUUGGAGUUGUAAGUCCAUAAUAUAGAAUGUUAACCGUCACUUGGUUUUGAUAAUUGACAGAGAUCCGACCGUUGGAUGGUAAGGAAAUUUUAGGAUGUUGUUCUAGGGAUAUAUUGUGGACCUCUGGAAGUUAUGGAUUGGAAAUCUGAGUUGCAGAUCUUCAGGAUCGAACUGCGUAGUGACGUGUUUUAUAUAAGUUAUAUUCUAUUGAUAUGAAUUCUGAGGUUGGAUUUGAUUUUUGUUCUAGGCACCGAUCGUCAUGACGCCUUGAUGUGUUGUGCUAGGGAGUUGUAGGGCGAAUUCCAGGUGAGUGGGCAGUUUUGUUUUCGUAUUACCUAUAUACUACUGUUUUUCCCAAAAAAUGCAUUUAUAUGAAAAUAUAUUUUAAAAUGCCAUGCAUGCAAUUGAUGAGAUAUUUGAAUUGAUAAUUGAUGCAUAUAUAUGUGAAUUGACGCUGUGGACACACAUGUGAGUUUUUACAUUAUUCAUACGAUUUAUUUAUGUGAAUUGCAUUGAAAGCUCAGAACCUGCACCCUAGGUGUUAGUGCUUAUAUUAUUCACCACACUGCACGCUCGCCUUGGAUCCAAGUAGGUGGAUGUCGUACAGACCACUAGAGGUGGUUCCGACAUGCCAGUUGUACAGACCAUUAGAGGGGUUCCGACUGGUAGGUGACCUUAGAUUAUGUGCACAGAUGAUUGAUGAGAGAAGCACUAGAGCGUAUUAUUUCACCAUCUUAGUCGUACAGACUACUAUAGGUAGUUCUGACUUAUGUGCAGUGUAGUGCCGUACAGGUCAUAAUUGGUGACUCCGGCAGGGCCGUACAGGUCACAGUUGGUGACUCCGGCUGGAUGGGAUAUUGAGCUAUAGAAUCAACCGUACAGGACCACUGUAGGGUCUCCAGUUGAUUUAUUAUUUCACUUGAUUUAUAUUGAUGCAUUCAUAUUAUAUUUUGGCAUGGCAUGGCAUAUUCUUUCUGAAAAGUGUUGAAGGAUUGUGAUUUGAGCUUUUGAUGAUAUAUAUAUGUUUAUAUACUAAAUUUCUGGGAAAAUAUACAGGUUUUACGGCGAGGGGUUAGAAAUGUUUUAAAUGAAAGGUUUUCGAAAAGCUUUGUUUUGCUGACCCACUCAAUUUUGUUUUGCGCCCCUCCAGGUUCAAGUUAGCAAAGCUUUGGUGGCCACGAGGAAUCCAACGGUGUUCGGACAGAAUUCACAAAAG